CUUUCAUUCAAAAAACAAUCCACGAUGUUGAAGGAGUUGUAAAAGAAAUAAAAGUAUUUUUAAUAUCUAAACCAAUUCCAAGUAAUGUAUGUGCCUAUUUCACUCACACAACUGCACACCCAAGUGUGGACCAUGCAGUGACUUCCUUUUAAAAGCUACACUGUGUUAAAAAUAAUUCAUGACACUUGUUAAAGAACAGAAAGGCAGACUUUAUAUAGGACCACUGCAAUAGGUAUAGGAACCACUCCAGUGGUGUUUUGCAGUAAAGACUGAGCUCAACUCCUAAUACAAGAAAAAAAUGGGGAUUUAUAGUCAAGGAUCUAUCCCUUGACUCCCCAAGGAUGAACGAGUCAGAGGAUGAGAAAUUACUAACAGAAAACACGUAGGAGCCGCCGGGCACAAUGGCUCACCUGUACUACCAGCACUUUGGGAGGUAGAGGGGAGCGGAUUACUUGAGGUCAGGAACUCGAGACCAGCCUGGCCAACAUGGCAAAACCCUCUCUACUAAAAAUACAAAAGUUAGCCAGGCGUAGUGUCACACACCUGUAAUCCCAGCUACUUGAGAAGCUGAGGCAUGAGCAUUGCAUGAACCCAGGAAGUGGAGGUUGCAGUGAGCCGAGAUCACACCACUGCACGCCAGCAUGGGCAACAGAGCGAGACUCCAUCUCAAAAGACAUUCAGGGUAAUGAAGACCAUCUUCCACCAAGCCUUCCACACAUACAAGAUGGACAUAGACCCCAAGCAAGGGACACAGCAGUGCUUGUGUGUUGUGUGCAGUGCAGCUCAGGGGCAGGCUCUUUGAGAUCUUGCUUUCCCACAGACCAGCCACUGCCACCUAUAUCCAGGGCAAAGGCAAGGCGGUGAUUGUGGAGAGGUAAGUCACCCACGUGCUCAGCUUCAAUGCAGGUGAACCACUGUACAGGGCAGCUUCCAAAUACCUGUCUAGAAUGUGCACCUAGUUGUCUAGAGUAGCUCCUGAAUAGUUGACUAGAAUGUGCACCUUAGCAUGGGAGUGGGUGGGGGAGAAGACGGGAGCAGAGACAUAUGUUAGACAAGCAGGUUCAAGACUCUCUGUCUUCCUGGGUGGAUUAAAAAUUCUUUAAGGGGAGAGUC
Molecule: long non-coding RNA, 1113 nt
Filed under: Papio anubis (olive baboon)
Lineage: Eukaryota; Metazoa; Chordata; Mammalia; Primates; Cercopithecidae
Description: lncRNA (ENSPANG00000041122.1)
Source: RNAcentral